Molecule: ribosomal RNA, 489 nt
Filed under: uncultured bacterium
Lineage: Bacteria
Description: bacterial SSU rRNA
Rfam family: Bacterial small subunit ribosomal RNA
Source: RNAcentral
UCAGGAUGAACGCUGGCGGCGUGCUAACACAUGCAAGUCGAACGAAGCCAAAAGGAAGCUUGCUUCUUGAAGCUUAGUGGCGGACGGGUGAGUAACGCGUGAGUAACCUGCCCUUAAGUGGGGAAUAACAACAGAGAAAUCUGUGCUAAUACCGCAUAAUGUCGGAGAGGCCGCAUGACUUUCCGACCAAAGGAUUUAUUCGCUUAAGGAUGGACUCGCGUCCGAUUAGCUAGUUGGUGAGGUAACGGCCCACCAAGGCGACGAUCGGUAGCCGAACUGAGAGGUUGAUCGGCCACAUUGGGACUGAGACACGGCCCAGACUCCUACGGGAGGCAGCAGUGGGGAAUAUUGGGCAAUGGGCGAAAAAGCCUGACCCAGCAACGCCGCGUGAAGGAAGACGGUCUUCGGAUUGUAAACUUCUUUGAUUGGGGAAGAACAAAAUGACCUACCCAAAGAACAAGUCACGGCUAACUACGUGCCAGCAGCGGC